RNA transcript from Xyrauchen texanus (razorback sucker), 3999 nucleotides. It is a transcript of the gene named glutathione S-transferase kappa 1-like, with no coding region annotated. The transcript has 5 exons. The record is from RefSeq and is a predicted model, not a curated record. NCBI's taxonomy places the organism in Eukaryota, Metazoa, Chordata, Actinopteri, Cypriniformes, Catostomidae.
GGAAAAUGGUGGAAUUGUUCUAUGAUGUUGUCUCUCCUUAUUCCUGGCUGGGAUUCGAGGUACUGUGUCGCUACAGAAAUGUUUGGAACAUCGACCUCAAAUUGAAACCUGCAUAUUUAGGGGGAGUCAUGCACGCUUCAGCUUCAAGUUUUCAAGAUGAAGAAAUUCAGAACACCAAAUUCAAUAUUCUAAAAUUCGAUAUUUGCAAGUUCUUUAUCCUCGCACAGCUUUACUCUAUCGCGCGUGUGAGCAUCAAUAAUGCGUGUGGAUUAAUGGCGUUGAAAUGCCUUCAUAAUGAUGAGCAUAAUGAUAAAUAAAAUUAUGAAACAGUAAAAAGGCUUAUACUGUUACGAAUGGAGGCAGACGAGGAGAGCGGAUCUAAAUGCAAUCUUACUUUUAUUAACUGAGACAAUCAAGAAAUACAAAGGAAAACCCUCAAUGGGGAAAUGAACAUAACACUGAACACACGAUGAAAACAAAACUGAGAAAACGGGCAGGGGACACAUACCAGGCUAACAACAUUCAACGAUAGACAAGGACUGAACCAAAAACCAGGGUAUAUAUACAUGAACAUAGAACUAAGAGGCCAAUGAACAAACAGAACACCAAACAAGAUAACGAGGGAAGAAACAGAGGCAAGUGGCAAGUUAACGAGGGACAGGUGAAAGCAAUGACGGAAAACACGAACGCUAACAAAGAGACUAUGGAGUUACAUACGCGACAAAAGUGAAAACUAUGGAAUGCAAAAAGUGACAAAAAUGGCAAACAAGAGGGAACAGUGAAACAAGACGAGGUAUGCCGAACAGAGCCCCCCACAAGGAUCGGAUUCCAGACGAUCCAAAAUAAAUAAACAAAUAAUAAAAAAAAAAACACCAGGGGCAGACAGACAGACCAGGGGGGCACGAGAGUAGGCAGGAAGUCCAAGGGGGCACAGAGGGCAGGCAGAAAGUUCAGGGGGGCACAGAGGGCAGGCAGGAAGUCCAGGAGGGCACAAAGGGCAGGCAGGAAGUCCAGGGGGGCACAAAGGGCAGGCAGGGAGUCCAAGGGGGCACAGAGGGCAGGCAGGGAGUCCUGGGGGGCACAAAGGGCAAGGACAGGUUCGGGAGGUCUGGGAGCUGGCCACAGGGCAAGGAUAGGUUCAGGAGGCCUGGGAGCUGGCCACAGGGCAAGGGUAGGUUCAGGAGGCCUGGGAGCUGGCCACUGGACAGGGACUGGGUCAGGGGCCCUGGGAAGAGGCCACAGGACAGGGACCGGGUCAGGAGGCCUGGGAGGAGGCCACAGGACUGGAACAGGGUCAGGGGGCCUGGGAGGAGGCCACAGGACAGGGACUGGGUCAGGGGGCCUGGAAGGAGGCCACAGGACAGGGACUGGGUCAGGGGGCCUGGAAGGAGGCCACAGGACAGGGACUGGGUCAGGGGCCCUGGGAGGAGGCCACAGGACAGGGGCCGGGUCAGGAGGCCUGGGGGGAGGCCACAGGACGGGAACAGGGUCAGGAGGCCUGGGAGGAGACCACAGGACAGGGACUGGGUCAGGAGGCCUGGGAGGAGACCACAGGACGGGAACAGGGUCAGGAGGCCUGGGAGGAGGCCACAGGACAGGGGCCAGGUCAGGAGGCCUGGGAGGAGGCCACAGGACAGGGACUGGGUCGGGGGCCCUGGGAGGAGGCCAUAGGAUAGGGGCCGGGUCAGGAGGCCUGGGAGGAGGCCAUAGGAUAGGGGCCGGGUCAGGAGGCCUGGGAGGAGGCCAUAGGACAGGAACAGGGUCAGGGGCCCUGGGAGGAGGCCACAGGACAGGGGCCGGGUCAGGAGGCCUGGGCGGAGGCCACAGAUCAGGAACAGGGUCAGGGGCCCUGGGAGAAGGCCCUAGAGGCGGAGACCUGGAAGGCUCUGGCGGCGGGGCCGAUGGAGGUGGCGCCAUAGGAGGCUCUAGAGGCGGAGGCCUGGAAGGCUCUGGAGGCGGAGCCGUAGGAGGCUCGGGAAGCGGAGCCCAGGAAGGCUCGAGAGACUUGAGGAGCGGAAUCCUAGAGAGCCCGGGAGGCGGAGCCGUAGGAGGCUCAGGAGGCGGAGCCGUAGGACGCUCGAGAGGUGGAGCCCUAGAAAGCUCUGGAGUCUCUGGGAGCAGAGCCGGAGGAGGCUCGGGAGGUGGAGCCGUAGGAUGCUCAAGAGGUGGAGCCCUAGAACGCUCUGGAGUCUCUGGGAGCAGAGCCGUAGGAGGCUCGGGAGGCGGAGCCAUAGGAGGCUCAGGAGGUGGAGCCGUAGGAGGCUCGAGAGGUGGAGCCCUAGAAAGCUCUGGAGUCUCUGGGAGCAGAGCUGUAGGAGGUUCGGGAGGCUGAGCCAUAGGAGGCUCGGGAGGCGGAGCCGUAGGAGGCUUGAGAGGCUGGAGGGGCGGAGCCCUGGAAAGCUCAGAAGUCUCUGGGAGCAGAGCGUAGGAGGCUCGGGAGGUGGAGCCGUAGGAGGCUCUGGAGGUGGAGCCGUAGGAGGCUCGGGAGGCUGGAGGGGCGGAGCCCUGGAAGGCUCGAGAGGCUUGAGAGGUGGAGCUCUGGGAAGCUCGGAGGGCGGAGCUCUGGCAAGCUCGGAGGGCGGAGCUCUGGCAAGCUCAGGAAGCUCGGAAGGCAGGGUUCUAGGAAGCUUGGAGAGCGGAGCUCUGGAAAGCUCGGAAGGCGGAGCUCUGGAAAGCUCGGAAGGCGGAGCUCUGGAAAGCUCAGGAAGCUCGGAAGGCAGGGUUCUAGGAAGCUUGGAGAGCGGAGCUCUGGAAAGCUCGGAAGGCGGAGCUCUGGAAAGCUCGGGCAGCUCGGAAGGCGGAGCUCUGGAAAGCUUGGGAGGGAGAGCUCUGGGAAGCUCGAGAGGCACUGACUCUUGGACGGGUACGACCACUGGCGCCGGCUUUUGGAUGGUCGUGGCUACUGGCGCUGGCCCUUGGACGGUCAUGGCUACUGGCAUGGGCCCUUGGACGGUCAUGGCUGCAGGCGCUGGCUCAGGGAUGGUCGGGGCUGCAGGCGCUGGCUCAGGGACGGUCGGGGCUGCAGGCGCUGGCUCUGGGACGGUCGGGCUGCAGGCGCUGGCUCUGGGACGGUCGGGGCUGCAGGCGCUGGCUCGCUGGCCGUGGCAGGCUGGCUCGCUGGCCGUGGCAGGCGCUGGCUCGCUGGCCGUGGCAGGCGGAGACUGGGGAGCAGAAGCCUUUCUUCUUUUCCUCCUCCUCCUCCGGGCGGAUGAAGCUGGCAGCGCUGGCUCGUUGGCCGUGGCCGGCACGGAAAGCCCAGAGGCGGAAACCAGGAUCGAGAGAGGUGGCUCCCCGGUAGCGAGCUCCCUCAAGACCAGACUCACAUACUCCAUCCACGUGAGGUCUCCGGGGUCCGGCAAUUCCCUCUGCCGGUGUCUUGGUAGCCCGAGCCGGUAGAUGGUCUUCAGGGACGUGUCGUCAAAGCCGGUGUGGAUGGCAACAGUGGAAAAAAGUGGGAGUACUCGCGGUAGGUCAGAUCCGCCUGGGCCAGUUCCGUAAAGAAAGCUGCUAGAUCCAUAUUUGGCGGUCUAUCGUUCUGUUACGAAUGGAGGCAGACGAGGAGAGCGGAUCUAAAUGCAAUCUUACUUUUAUUAACUGAGACAAUCAAGAAAUACAAAGGAAAACCCUCAAUGGGGAAAUGAACAUAACACUGAACACACGAUGAAAACAAAACUGAGAAAACGGGCAGGGGACACAUACUAGGCUAACAACAUUCAAUGAUAGACAAGGACUGAACCAAAAACCAGGGUAUAUAUACAUGAACAUAGAACCAAGGGGCCAAUGAACAAACAGAACACCAAACAAGAUAACGAGGGAAGAAACAGAGGCAAGUGGCAAGUUAACGAGGGACAGGUGAAAGCAAUGACGGAAAACACGACCGCUAACAAAGAGACUAUGGAGUUACAUACGCGACAAAAGUGAAAACUAUGGAAUGCAAAAAGUGACAAAAGUGGCAAACAAGAGGAAACAGUGAAACAAGACGAGGUAACAGCCCCCCUG